Molecule: ribosomal RNA, 1549 nt
Filed under: Lactiplantibacillus paraplantarum
Lineage: Bacteria; Bacillati; Bacillota; Bacilli; Lactobacillales; Lactobacillaceae
Description: Lactobacillus paraplantarum 16S ribosomal RNA
Rfam family: Bacterial small subunit ribosomal RNA
Source: RNAcentral
GUUUGAUCAUGGCUCAGGACGAACGCUGGCGGCGUGCCUAAUACAUGCAAGUCGAACGAACUCUGGUAUUGAUUGGUGCUUGCAUCAUGAUUUACAUUUGAGUGAGUGGCGAACUGGUGAGUAACACGUGGGAAACCUGCCCAGAAGCGGGGGAUAACACCUGGAAACAGAUGCUAAUACCGCAUAACAACUUGGACCGCAUGGUCCGAGUUGAAAGAUGGCUUCGGCUAUCACUUUUGGAUGGUCCCGCGGCGUAUUAGCUAGAUGGUGGGGUAACGGCUCACCAUGGCAAUGAUACGUAGCCGACCUGAGAGGGUAAUCGGCCACAUUGGGACUGAGACACGGCCCAAACUCCUACGGGAGGCAGCAGUAGGGAAUCUUCCACAAUGGACGAAAGUCUGAUGGAGCAACGCCGCGUGAGUGAAGAAGGGUUUCGGCUCGUAAAACUCUGUUGUUAAAGAAGAACAUAUCUGAGAGUAACUGUUCAGGUAUUGACGGUAUUUAACCAGAAAGCCACGGCUAACUACGUGCCAGCAGCCGCGGUAAUACGUAGGUGGCAAGCGUUGUCCGGAUUUAUUGGGCGUAAAGCGAGCGCAGGCGGUUUUUUAAGUCUGAUGUGAAAGCCUUCGGCUCAACCGAAGAAGUGCAUCGGAAACUGGGAAACUUGAGUGCAGAAGAGGACAGUGGAACUCCAUGUGUAGCGGUGAAAUGCGUAGAUAUAUGGAAGAACACCAGUGGCGAAGGCGGCUGUCUGGUCUGUAACUGACGCUGAGGCUCGAAAGUAUGGGUAGCAAACAGGAUUAGAUACCCUGGUAGUCCAUACCGUAAACGAUGAAUGCUAAGUGUUGGAGGGUUUCCGCCCUUCAGUGCUGCAGCUAACGCAUUAAGCAUUCCGCCUGGGGAGUACGGCCGCAAGGCUGAAACUCAAAGGAAUUGACGGGGGCCCGCACAAGCGGUGGAGCAUGUGGUUUAAUUCGAAGCUACGCGAAGAACCUUACCAGGUCUUGACAUACUAUGCAAAUCUAAGAGAUUAGACGUUCCCUUCGGGGACAUGGAUACAGGUGGUGCAUGGUUGUCGUCAGCUCGUGUCGUGAGAUGUUGGGUUAAGUCCCGCAACGAGCGCAACCCUUAUUAUCAGUUGCCAGCAUUAAGUUGGGCACUCUGGUGAGACUGCCGGUGACAAACCGGAGGAAGGUGGGGAUGACGUCAAAUCAUCAUGCCCCUUAUGACCUGGGCUACACACGUGCUACAAUGGAUGGUACAACGAGUUGCGAACUCGCGAGAGUAAGCUAAUCUCUUAAAGCCAUUCUCAGUUCGGAUUGUAGGCUGCAACUCGCCUACAUGAAGUCGGAAUCGCUAGUAAUCGCGGAUCAGCAUGCCGCGGUGAAUACGUUCCCGGGCCUUGUACACACCGCCCGUCACACCAUGAGAGUUUGUAACACCCAAAGUCGGUGGGGUAACCUUUUAGGAACCAGCCGCCUAAGGUGGGACAGAUGAUUAGGGUGAAGUCGUAACAAGGUAGCCGUAGGAGAACCUGCGGUUGGAUCAC